GGGUUUAGACCGUCGNGAGACAGGUUAGUUUUACCCUACUGAUGAAUGUUAUCGCAAUAGUAAUUGAACUUAGUACGAGAGGAACCGUUCAUUCAGAUAAUUGGUUUUUGCGGCUGUCUGAUCAGGCAUUGCCGCGAAGCUACCAUCUGCUGGAUAAUGGCUGAACGCCUCUAAGUCAGAAUCCAUGCUAGAAAGCGAUGAUUUCUUGCCCUCGCACAUUUUAGUUGGAUACGAAUAAGGCACUCUGUGUCGCUGAACCAUAGCAGGCUGGCAAUGGUGCUUUUAACGGAAAGGUUUUAAGUGCUUGCCGGUGGAUAGCAAUGUCAUUAUGCGCGAGGAUAAAUCCUUUGCAUACGACUUAAAUGUACAACGGGGUAUUGUAAGCAGUAGAGUAGCCUUGUUGUUACGAUCUGCUGAGAUUAAGCCUCAGUUGUCCGAUUUG
RNAcentral lists this ribosomal RNA (442 nucleotides) under Ogataea angusta. RNAcentral describes it as "eukaryotic LSU rRNA". It matches the Rfam family "Eukaryotic large subunit ribosomal RNA", at positions 2959 to 3400 of the family's 3401-position model. Lineage: Eukaryota; Fungi; Ascomycota; Pichiomycetes; Pichiales; Pichiaceae. The record is from RNAcentral.